Oreochromis aureus is the source of this 838-nucleotide long non-coding RNA. The record is from Ensembl. NCBI's taxonomy places the organism in Eukaryota, Metazoa, Chordata, Actinopteri, Cichliformes, Cichlidae.
AGAAAAUAGAUUGAAUGUUCUUUUGUUAUGACUGAUUUCUGGUCUAGUUACAGUUCACCAGCUUUAAUAAAAUCAUGUCUACUUGCAAUUUAUGUGUAGUUGACCGGAAAAUUAAAGCAGCGAUCACUUGGACUAUUCCUAGCACCCCCCCCUCACAGUGGUACAUCCCUUCAGGUAGCCAUUCACAAGUCUUGUACAGUAGAGCGGGACAUUACAUUUACUCUCAGCGGAAUUCACUGGAGAAGGCAUAUAAGUUCAUGCACUGCACUGGCCUGCACCACGAUUAUUAUAAGGUGGAGUAAUGCACGAAUGGAUAAAAAAGAGUGAGCUGUUGAGGAGCAAAUGGAGAUCCGUGUCCAGGGGAGUGAUGCUAUUGCGAGUGUGAAAGGUUGUCCAGGAAGUAACUAAGAAGACAUGAACAGAGAGGUGGUGAUCCUCAGAGGACCGAUGAAGUAGAGCAGCCAGCACCCCAAGUAGAGCAGGCACUGUGGAAAAAUAGUUGUGACUCAACUAGACCAUUACAAAGUAUGGCCUGGAGGAUUUUCAUCUCAAGGUGCAAGAACAUUCUUAAUGACUGUACACGGCGGCUGCUGAUGGACGAUGUUGGGCCAGAUGUGCUACAGUUAGCGUUAAGGAGGUUGGAGACUAUGCAGAGAAGCCUUCAGUGGGCAAGAGGAAGACUGAUCAAUGUAACUGCAGCAGAUCAACUUCUGCGUGACUUGGCUGAAUUGAUUCAGGAGGUCGAACUGUCUACUCAGCAUGGCCAACAAGGCUGUUUUGGAUACCAGGCACCAGUGGUUUUCAACAGAGGUAGAGGUAGAUCCCUUUACCUUAUCAC